UGUUUAUGUGACUGUGUGAAUUGAAAAGUACAGGAAAAAUAAUGGAAUAAGUCAUACUUACUAAAUAGUAGCUUAGUGGUUAAAUUGUAAGCACUUUUUCCUAUAUUGUCGAGAUGGCGCGGAAGGAAGGCCAAUACGCGCAGUUCAUACCCCGUCAGAUGUGGAAGGCAGACCCUGAGUUCCCCAAGGGCAUGACUCCUCUCAAAACCCCAGUGGAGAAUGUAGUAGCCGCCUGGACCAAUACACCGCCAUGCUCGAGUCCUCAGGAAUGCAUGACUGCAGUGAGGAUGAUUCAGAAGAAGCAUGUCGAGAGUGGACUUCCGGACAUUGCCCACAAUUUCCUGAUAGGAGGAGAUGGAAGGAUCUACGAGGGGAGAGGGUGGAGGCACCAGGGACCUGUCUACCCAGAGACAGUCGAGGACCAUGAGAGACUUAACAACAACUGUGUGGAGAUAGCCUUCAUUGACUGGGCGUGUGAUGAUUGGCCAUCAGAAGCAUAUUUUACCACUUUCUCUUGCGUCGUAACUGACGGCCAAGAGGCCAAUGCUCUGGGAGGGAUCUUCACAUUGUACAUUGAGAAGAAAGGGAAAAUAAGCCUCUUUAAAACCUACGAUCCGGUCAAGGAUUAUGAGCAAAUCGUCCCCCCGGAGCUUCGUGAAGAAGUGUACAGGGAAAUGAGGGAAAGAGAGGCUCAAAGAGCAGCAAAGUUAAGAAGAAAGAUAGAAUAAAAGUGUCUUUGUGAACAAAAUCGCAACUUGAUACACACAGUCUUCAUAACCUAAAACACAGGAUCCAACUCCCAAACAAAUGAUGUGUUUGUCCCCAAUUGUAUUGACUGGACAAGAACUCCUUCGUAUCGUGGGGGCUUUCAACUUCUACUGGAAUAGAGACGGGUUUGUGAAGAGAGUGACAAGUUACAAUCCGU
RNA transcript from Macrosteles quadrilineatus (aster leafhopper), 925 nucleotides. It is a transcript of the gene named peptidoglycan-recognition protein LF-like, with no coding region annotated. NCBI's taxonomy places the organism in Eukaryota, Metazoa, Arthropoda, Insecta, Hemiptera, Cicadellidae. The record is from RefSeq and is a predicted model, not a curated record. The transcript has 5 exons.